GCCCCAUUGGCUUAGUGGAAGAGCAUCUCCCUCCUAAGGAGAAGACCCGGGUUCGAUCCCCGGAUGGGGCU
This is a non-coding RNA of Coemansia sp. RSA 988, 71 nucleotides long. The record is from the annotation of a GenBank genome assembly. Lineage: Eukaryota; Fungi; Kickxellomycota; Kickxellomycetes; Kickxellales; Kickxellaceae.